GCAGAAGAAGAAGAAGUGGAGCAAGGGAAAGCAAAAGGAAAAGGUGAACAACAUGGUGUUGUUUGACAAGUCUACAUACGAUAAGCUACUCUCUGAAGCUCCUAAGUAUAAGCUUAUCACUCCUUCUGUCCUCUCCGAUCGUCUCAGGAUUAGUGGAUCACUUGCUAGGAAGGCAAUUAGAGAUUUGAUGGCUAGAGGUUCAAUCAGGAUGGUAUCUGCUCAUGCAAGCCAGCAGAUCUACACCAGGGCUACCAACACUUAAUAUGCGUUAAUUCAUUUGUUUACCUAGCUCUUGCAGGGGCUACUACUUGUUUUAGAAAUUUCUAAGCUUAUUUUGGAAAAUAUCAGAACAUAUUAGCUAAACAGCUAUUUUGAGCAAUAGUUUUGAUCGCAGUUGCUGUUUUGACUAUGCUGGCUAUUUAAUUGAGUUAUUUA
RNAcentral lists this unclassified non-coding RNA (435 nucleotides) under Hevea brasiliensis (rubber tree). The record is from RNAcentral. Lineage: Eukaryota; Viridiplantae; Streptophyta; Magnoliopsida; Malpighiales; Euphorbiaceae.